Molecule: ribosomal RNA, 550 nt
Filed under: uncultured Bifidobacterium sp.
Lineage: Bacteria; Bacillati; Actinomycetota; Actinomycetes; Bifidobacteriales; Bifidobacteriaceae
Description: bacterial SSU rRNA
Rfam family: Bacterial small subunit ribosomal RNA
Source: RNAcentral
CUCCUGGAAACGGGUGGUAAUGCCGGAUGUUCCAGUUGAUCGCAUGGUCUUCUGGGAAAGCUUUCGCGGUAUGGGAUGGGGUCGCGUCCUAUCAGCUUGACGGCGGGGUAACGGCCCACCGUGGCUUCGACGGGUAGCCGGCCUGAGAGGGCGACCGGCCACAUUGGGACUGAGAUACGGCCCAGACUCCUACGGGAGGCAGCAGUGGGGAAUAUUGCACAAUGGGCGCAAGCCUGAUGCAGCGACGCCGCGUGAGGGAUGGAGGCCUUCGGGUUGUAAACCUCUUUUAUCGGGGAGCAAGCGUGAGUGAGUUUACCCGUUGAAUAAGCACCGGCUAACUACGUGCCAGCAGCCGCGGUAAUACGUAGGGUGCAAGCGUUAUCCGGAAUUAUUGGGCGUAAAGGGCUCGUAGGCGGUUCGUCGCGUCCGGUGUGAAAGUCCAUCGCUUAACGGUGGAUCCGCGCCGGGUACGGGCGGGCUUUGAGUGCGGAAGGGGACACUGGAAUUCCUGGGGUAACGUGGGAAGGUGUAGAUUUCUCCAUCAAUGCCA